UGGGGAGUGGCCAAGCUGGUAAGGCGCCUGACUCUGGAUCAGGAGAUCGAGGGUUCGAAUCCUUCCUCCCCAGCCA
RNAcentral lists this transfer RNA (76 nucleotides) under Candidatus Dormiibacterota bacterium. Its description in RNAcentral is "candidate division AD3 bacterium tRNA-Gln". It matches the Rfam family "tRNA". Rfam says of the family: Transfer RNA (tRNA) molecules are approximately 80 nucleotides in length. Their secondary structure includes four short double-helical elements and three loops (D, anti-codon, and T loops). Lineage: Bacteria; Bacillati; Candidatus Dormiibacterota. RNAcentral also lists the same sequence under 2 other names. The record is from RNAcentral.